This 776-nucleotide ribosomal RNA is filed under the name uncultured bacterium. RNAcentral's name for it is "bacterial SSU rRNA". It matches the Rfam family "Bacterial small subunit ribosomal RNA", at positions 8 to 779 of the family's 1533-position model. The record is from RNAcentral.
AGAGUUUGAUCCUGGCUCAGAUUGAACGCUGGCGGUAGGCUUAACACAUGCAAGUCGUGCGAGAAAGUAUCUUCGGAUACGAGUACAGCGGCGGACGGGUGAGUAACGCGUAGGAAUCUACCUAGUAGAAGGGGAUAGCCCGGGGAAACCCGGAUUAAUACCGUAUACCUCCUUCGGGAGAAAGAAGGCCUCUCUUUGAAGCUUUCGCUACUAGAUGAGCCUGCGUAAGAUUAGCUUGUUGGUGAGGUAAAGGCUCACCAAGGCAACGAUCUUUAGCUGGUCUGAGAGGACGAUCAGCCACAUUGGGACUGAGACACGGCCCAGACUCCUACGGGAGGCAGCAGUGGGGAAUAUUGGACAAUGGGCGCAAGCCUGAUCCAGCCAUACCGCGUGUGUGAAGAAGGCCUUCGGGUUGUAAAGCACUUUAAGCAGGGAGAAAAAGUUAUAAGCUAAUACCUUAUAACCUUGAUGUUACCUGCAGAAUAAGCACCGGCUAAUUCCGUGCCAGCAGCCGCGGUAAUACGGAAGGUGCAAGCGUUAAUCGGAAUUACUGGGCGUAAAGCGCGCGUAGGUGGUUUGUUAAGUUGGAUGUGAAAGCCCUGGGCUCAACCUAGGAACUGCAUCCAAAACUAACUCACUAGAGUACGAUAGAGGGAGGUAGAAUUCAUAGUGUAGCGGUGGAAUGCGUAGAUAUUAUGAAGAAUACUAGUGGCGAAGGCGGCCUCCUGGAUCUGUACUGACACUGAGGUGCGAAAGCGUGGGUAGCGAACAGGAUU